CUUGGUCAUUUAGAGGAAGUAAAAGUCGUAACAAGGUUUCCGUAGGUGAACCUGCGGAAGGAUCAUUAAUGAAACUUCAAGUCGGCUGUUCUGUGCUGGUGGCAACACAUGUGCACGUUCAGUCGCAAUCCACACACCUGUGCACUUUGACUCUGAGCACCGCCGGUAACACGGCAGAAGGUUUGAGAUGAAGGUCUUAACCUGGUACUCGAGUAGUUUACACACUCUGUAUGUAAUAGAAUGUACCUGUACAAUGUACAACUAUAAACAACUUUCAACAACGGAUCUCUUGGCUCUCGCAUCGAUGAAGAACGCAGCGAAAUGCGAUAAGUAAUGUGAAUUGCAGAAUUCAGUGAAUCAUCGAAUCUUUGAACGCACCUUGCACCCUUUGGUAUUCCGAAGGGUACACCCGUUUGAGUGUCAUUGUAAUCUCACUCCAACACCUUUAUUGAUGUUGGAUGUGGACUUGGAUGUUGUCGUGUUCAACGACUCGUCUUAAAUGCCUGAGUGUACCCUGCUUUGCAGCGUAUCAGUGUGAUAAACAUCUUCACUGUUAAGUCUUUCGGGACACGCUUGUGUUGUAGGCUCUAUGCUUUCCAACCGUCCUCUGGACAAUCUCUGACAAUUUGACCUCAAAUCGGGUGGGACUACCCGCUGAACUUAAGCAUAUCAAUAAGCGGAGGA
This 684-nucleotide ribosomal RNA is filed under the name uncultured fungus. RNAcentral describes it as "eukaryotic LSU rRNA". The stretch from base 270 to 423 matches the Rfam family "5.8S ribosomal RNA". Lineage: Eukaryota; Fungi. The record is from RNAcentral.